UACCAUGCAGUCGAACGAUGAACCACCUUCGGGUGGGGAUUAGUGGCGAACGGGUGAGUAACACGUGGGCAAUCUGCCCUGCACUCUGGGACAAGCCCUGGAAACGGGGUCUAAUACCGGAUACUGACCUGCCGAGGCAUCUCGGCGGGUCGAAAGCUCCGGCGGUGCAGGAUGAGCCCGCGGCCUAUCAGCUUGUUGGUGAGGUAAUGGCUCACCAAGGCGACGACGGGUAGCCGGCCUGAGAGGGCGACCGGCCACACUGGGACUGAGACACGGCCCAGACUCCUACGGGAGGCAGCAGUGGGGAAUAUUGCACAAUGGGCGCAAGCCUGAUGCAGCGACGCCGCGUGAGGGAUGACGGCCUUCGGGUUGUAAACCUCUUUCAGCAGGGAAGAAGCGAGAGUGACGGUACCUGCAGAAGAAGCGCCGGCUAACUACGUGCCAGCAGCCGCGGUAAUACGUAGGGCGCAAGCGUUGUCCGGAAUUAUUGGGCGUAAAGAGCUCGUAGGCGGCUUGUCGCGUCGGUUGUGAAAGCCCGGGGCUUAACCCCGGGUCUGCAGUCGAUACGGGCAGGCUAGAGUUCGGUAGGGGAGAUCGGAAUUCCUGGUGUAGCGGUGAAAUGCGCAGAUAUCAGGAGGAACACCGGUGGCGAAGGCGGAUCUCUGGGCCGAUACUGACGCUGAGGAGCGAAAGCGUGGGGAGCGAACAGGAUUAGAUACCCUGGUAGUCCACGCCGUAAACGGUGGGCACUAGGUGUGGGCAACAUUCCACGUUGUCCGUGCCGCAGCUAACGCAUUAAG
This 800-nucleotide ribosomal RNA is filed under the name Streptomyces diastaticus. RNAcentral's name for it is "bacterial SSU rRNA". It matches the Rfam family "Bacterial small subunit ribosomal RNA", at positions 52 to 864 of the family's 1533-position model. Lineage: Bacteria; Bacillati; Actinomycetota; Actinomycetes; Kitasatosporales; Streptomycetaceae. The record is from RNAcentral.